AAUCAACGCUGGCGGCGUGCCUAACACAUGCAAGUCGAACGCGAAAACCCCGCAAGGGGUUAGUAGAGUGGCAAACGGGUGAGUAACGCGUGGGUGACCUGCCUUCGAGCGGGGGAUAACGUUUCGAAAGGAACGCUAAUACCGCAUAACAUCCCGCCCUUGAACGGGUGGAGAUCAAAGCUGGGGAUCGCAAGACCCGGCACUUGAAGAGGGGCCCGCGUCUGAUUAGCUAGUUGGUGGGGUAACGCUCACCAAGGCAACGAUCAGUAUCCGGCCUGAGAGGGCGGACGGACACACUGGGACUGAGACACGGCCCAGACUCCUACGGGAGGCAGCAGUGGGGAAUUGUUCGCAAUGGGCGCAAGCCUGACGACGCAACGCCGCGUGGAGGAUGAAGAUUUUCGGAUCGUAAACUCCUGUCGAAUGGGACGAAAAGAUUGCGGGUUAACAGCCCGUGGUCCUGAC
This 465-nucleotide ribosomal RNA is filed under the name uncultured bacterium. RNAcentral's name for it is "bacterial SSU rRNA". It matches the Rfam family "Bacterial small subunit ribosomal RNA", at positions 32 to 473 of the family's 1533-position model. The record is from RNAcentral.